Molecule: ribosomal RNA, 253 nt
Filed under: uncultured bacterium
Lineage: Bacteria
Description: partial 16S ribosomal RNA
Rfam family: Bacterial small subunit ribosomal RNA
Source: RNAcentral
UACAGGGGGGGCAAGCGUUGUUCGGAAUUACUGGGCGUAAAGGGCUUGUAGGUGGCCAACUAAGUCACACGUGAAAUCCCCAGGCUUAACCUGGGAACUGCGUGUGAUACUGGAUGGCUUGAAUCCGGGAGAGGGAUGCGGAAUUCCAGGUGUAGCGGUGGAAUGCGUAGAUAUCUGGAGGAAUACCGGUGGCGAAGGCGGCAUCCUGGACCGACAUUGACGCUGAACGGCGAAAGCUAGGGGAGCAAACGGG